Molecule: long non-coding RNA, 740 nt
Filed under: Salmo salar (Atlantic salmon)
Lineage: Eukaryota; Metazoa; Chordata; Actinopteri; Salmoniformes; Salmonidae
Description: lncRNA (ENSSSAG00000087794.1)
Source: RNAcentral
CUCAGAACAGCCUCAAUUUGUCGUGAAAUGGACUCUACGAGGUGUCGAACACGGGCCAGCAUCCCUGUGGAACAUGAUCAUUCCAAUGCAUCACACAGUUGUCAAGUUGGCUGGAUGUCCUUUGGGUGGUGGACCAUUCCUUGCACCUACUACCAUAGACCGUUUAAAUCUUUUGUCUUGGCCAUUCACCCAUUGAAUGGCACACAAUCCAUGGUUUCAAUUGUCUCAAGGCUUAAAAAUCCGUCUUUAACCCGUCUCCUCGCCUUCAUCUACACCAGGGCGGCCCAACCCUCUUCCUGGAGAUCUACUGUCCUGUAGGUUUUCAGUCCAAUCCUCUUCCUGGAGAUCUACUGUCCUGUAGGUUUUCACUCCAAUCCUCUUCCUGGAGAUCUACUGUCCUGUAGGUUUUCAGUCCAACCCUCUUCCUGGAGAUCUACUGUCCUGUAGGUUUUCAGUCCAACCCUCUUCCUGGAGAUCUACUGUCCUGUGGGUUUACAGUCCAACCCUCUUCCUGGAGAUCUACUGUCCUGUAGGUUUUCAGUCCAACCCUCUUCCUGGAGAUCUACUGUCCUGUAGGUUUUCAGUCAAACCCUCUUCCUGGAGAUCUACCGUCCUGUAGGUUUUCAGUCCAACCCUCUUCCUGGAGAUCUACCGUCCUGUAGGUUUACAGUCCAACCCUCUUCCUGGAGAUCUACCGUCCUGUGGGUUUACAGUCCAACCCUCUUCCUGGAGAUCUACCG